RNAcentral lists this ribosomal RNA (208 nucleotides) under uncultured Mycoplasma sp. RNAcentral's name for it is "partial 16S ribosomal RNA". It matches the Rfam family "Bacterial small subunit ribosomal RNA", at positions 154 to 355 of the family's 1533-position model. The record is from RNAcentral. Lineage: Bacteria; Bacillati; Mycoplasmatota; Mollicutes; Mycoplasmatales; Mycoplasmataceae.
AAACAAUGGCUAAUGCCGGAUACGCAUGGAACCGCAUGGUUCCGUUGUGAAAGGCGCUGUAAGGCGCCACUAAAAGAUGAGGGUGCGGAACAUUAGUUAGUUGGUGAGGUAAUGGCCCACCAAGACUAUGAUGUUUAGCCGGGUCGAGAGACUGAUCGGCCACAUUGGGACUGAGACACGGCCCAAACUCCUACGGGAGGCAGCAGCC